This 460-nucleotide ribosomal RNA is filed under the name uncultured bacterium. Its description in RNAcentral is "partial 16S ribosomal RNA". It matches the Rfam family "Bacterial small subunit ribosomal RNA", at positions 338 to 795 of the family's 1533-position model. The record is from RNAcentral.
CCUACGGGUGGCAGCAGUGAGGAAUAUUGGUCAAUGGACGAGAGUCUGAACCAGCCAAGUAGCGUGAAGGAUGACUGCCCUAUGGGUUGUAAACUUCUUUUAUAUGGGAAUAAAACAGGGUAUGCAUACCCUCUUGUAUGUACCAUAUGAAUAAGGAUCGGCUAACUCCGUGCCAGCCACCGCGGUUAUACGGAGGAUCCGAGCGUUAUCCGGGUUUAUUGGGUUUAAAGGGGGCGUAGGGGGGAUGUUAAGUCAGGUGGGCAAGUUUGCGGCUCAACCGUAAAACUGCAGUUGAAACUGGCAGUCUUGAGUACAGUAGAGGUGUGCGGAAUGCGUGGUGUAGCGGUGAAAUGCAUAGAUAUCACGAAGAACUCCGAUUGCGAAGGCAGCUCACUGGACUGCAACUGACACUGAUGCACGAAAGUGUGGGUAUCAAACAGGAUUAGAUACCCUUGUAGUC